AGUGAACGCUGGCGGUAGGCCUAACACAUGCAAGUCGAACGGCAGCACAGUAAGAGCUUGCUCUUACGGGUGGCGAGUGGCGGACGGGUGAUGUAUACAUCGUAAUCUACUUUUUCGUGGGGGAUAACGUAGGGAAACUUACGCUAAUACCGCAUACGACCUACGGGUGAAAGCAGGGGAUCUUCGGACCUUGCUCGAUUGAAUGAGCCGAUGUCGGAUUAGCUAGUUGGCGGGGUAAAGGCCCACCAAGGCGACGAUCCGUAGCUGGUCUGAGAGGAUGAUCAGACACACUGGAACUGAGACACGGUCCAGACUCCUACGGGAGGCAGCAGUGGGGAAUAUUGGACAAUGGGCGCAAGCCUGAUCCAGCCAUACCGCGUGGGUGAAGAAGGCCUUCGGGUUGUAAAGCCCUUUUGUUGGGAAAGAAAAGCAGCAGGUUAAUACCCCGAUGUUCUGACGGUACCCAAAGAAUAAGCACCGGCUAACUUCGUG
RNAcentral lists this ribosomal RNA (492 nucleotides) under uncultured bacterium. Its description in RNAcentral is "partial 16S ribosomal RNA". It matches the Rfam family "Bacterial small subunit ribosomal RNA", at positions 29 to 507 of the family's 1533-position model. The record is from RNAcentral.